Long non-coding RNA from Mauremys mutica (yellowpond turtle), 197 nucleotides. RefSeq lists it as uncharacterized. The record is from RefSeq and is a predicted model, not a curated record. The transcript is spliced from 3 exons. Lineage: Eukaryota; Metazoa; Chordata; Testudines; Geoemydidae.
GCCAGGCCAGGCUGGGCUUGGCCGGGGUUAGGGCCGGAGCUGGGACGCUCGGCUGGGGCCAGGGCCAGAGUCGGAGCUGAAGAGUGCAGAUCCAGAGCCACUGUGAUCAUGACUAGUUGCCUUUUCAGCCAAGAAGAGCCUCUCUAGCACCACCAACCAGUGCCACUAAAUGAAACCACUUCACCAUCUACAACCCC